Molecule: long non-coding RNA, 297 nt
Filed under: Piliocolobus tephrosceles (Ugandan red Colobus)
Lineage: Eukaryota; Metazoa; Chordata; Mammalia; Primates; Cercopithecidae
Description: lncRNA (ENSPTEG00000013434.1)
Source: RNAcentral
UGCUAUUUUUCUAAAAAGGAAUUUUUUUCUUUUUUUCAGGCCUGCAGAUAAAACAUCUAAUGAAAAGAACAAGGUCAAAAACCAAGUACAUCCUGAGGCUGACUUUGCUGACUCAGUGGGGCCAUCUGAAAAGGCUCACUCUACUUAUGAGAAUUUUAUGUUGCUGAUUGAACAACUUGGAAUGGAGCGUAAAGGUAGGACCAUUGCAUAAAUGCAAAGCCUUUUGAUGUAUCCUGCAGUAAUGUGUGUAUACAUUGCUGAGAACUGAUGUGUGAUAGUGAAGCUCAUCUCAGAAAU